This 450-nucleotide ribosomal RNA is filed under the name uncultured bacterium. RNAcentral's name for it is "bacterial SSU rRNA". It matches the Rfam family "Bacterial small subunit ribosomal RNA", at positions 354 to 796 of the family's 1533-position model. The record is from RNAcentral.
GUGGGGAAUUUUGGACAAUGGGCGAAAGCCUGAUCCAGCAAUGCCGCGUGUGUGAAGAAGGCCUUCGGGUUGUAAACUGCUUUUGUACGGAACGAAACGGUCCGGGUUAAUACCCUGGGCUAAUGACGGUACCGUAAGAAUAAGCACCGGCUAACUACGUGCCAGCAGCCGCGGUAAUACGUAGGGUGCAAGCGUUAAUCGGAAUUACUGGGCGUAAAGCGUGCGCAGGCGGUUUUGUAAGAUCGAUGUGAAAUCCCCGGGCUCAACCUGGGAACUGCAUUGGUGACUGCAAGGCUGGAGUGCGGCAGAGGGGGAUGGAAUUCCGCGUGUAGCAGUGAAAUGCGUAGAUAUGCGGAGGAACACCGAUGGCGAAGGCAAUCCCCUGGGCCUGCACUGACGCUCAUGCACGAAAGCGUGGGGAGCAAACAGGAUUAGAAACCCCUGUAGUCC